GUCAAACCUAUACAUACAUUCUUUAUAUUUGUGAAAAGGGAAGUGCUAUAUGUAUAUAAUUGUUGUAUCCAUAAUUACAAGUGGUACUGGAUUCAACUUUGAAUUCAGAUCUCACAUUUACACAUCAACAAUCGAAUGAUUGCCACAUAAUAUUAUGGACACUAUUUUGUGCAAUAAUUAUAUACAAGUAAAAUUUUUCUUGUGAAAAUUGUAUGUUUUUGAUUUGUUGGCUGCUUUUCUGGGUUUUUGCAUAUUCAAGAAGGUAAUGAAGAUGGAGUUUUUUGGAGAAGUACAGAGGUAAGAUUCUAUACACGUAACAUUCUCAAUUCUUAUUUUUCCUUUUUCUUUUUUCUUUUUUUUUUUUUCCUUUGGGUACUUAAUACUUUAUAUUCCUUGUCAUUCUUGUUUGAUUAAUAGUUUUCAUUCUCACUUUUUGAUUAUCUUUUACAGCUGAUAGCGUUGGAGAAGACUUCACCAAGAAACUUGAUAGCGGGCAUAAAGUUAAUUGUCCGUGGGUAGGAAACGUCUGUGCAGAAAGCUUGGUUCAGUUCUCUCCUACACCACUAUCAGCAUUGAUUGGUGGUUAUAAGGAUCGUUGUGAUGGAAUGUUGUAGUUCCCUUCUCUGCCCAUUGUGGCUGCAUCUGCAAUUGAGCAAAUGCAAAUAUCUCGGGGGUCCUGAAAUUGACCGACUUUUAGCUCAGACUCAGUUUGCAGGCAAUGAAUUGGGUUUUUGCAGUGUGUGAAAAUCAUAUUUAUUUAUUUUUUCCGUAUUUUAAUUCAAAUUAGCAAUGGAAAUAGUGAAGAAAACCCGUUGGUAAUCAUCAUCGGACAAAAUCUAUAGUCAAUUUGAGACCGCAAAAUUUGUUGCUAUUUAGUAACGAAAAUAGUCGUUGGUAUACACCGACGGCUUCUUCCAUCGCUAAAUCAUCGAUGAUCUAGGUAAUUCGUCUCUAAAAUUAGCGGCGGGGGCAUUACCGACGGAUUUUCUAACCGAUCAAUUCCGAUUGUGAAAGUCGUUAGCGACGGAAUUUAAGGCAUUAGGGAUGGAAAUUUCCGCCUCUGAAGCCAUUUUUUUUUUUUGUAGUGUUUUCCAACUUGCAAUUAUGUUUGGUUUACAUGUAGAAUAAGUGAUAUGGAAUAUUUAGA
This 1147-nucleotide long non-coding RNA is filed under the name Olea europaea subsp. europaea. Lineage: Eukaryota; Viridiplantae; Streptophyta; Magnoliopsida; Lamiales; Oleaceae. The record is from RNAcentral.